CCUACGGGAGGCAGCAGUGAGGAAUAUUGGUCAAUGGGCGGGAGCCUGAACCAGCGAAGUCGCGUGAAGGAAGAAGGUCCUUAGUAUUGUAAGCUUCUUUUGUCGGGGAACAAAGGCGGAGACGCGUCUCCGGAUGAGUGUACCCGAAGAAAAAGCAUCGGCUAACUCCGUGCCAGCAGCCGCGGUAAUACGGAGGAUGCGAGCGUUAUCCGGAUUUAUUGGGUUAAAAGGGUGCGCAGGCGGGAGAUCAAGUCAGCGGUAAAGUGUCGGGGCUCAACCCCGGCCGGCCUUGGAAACUGGUUUUCUAGAGUUGGAGAGAGGUAUGCGGAAUUCGUGGUGUAGCGGUGAAAUGCAUAGAUAUAACGAAGAACUCCGAUGGCGAAGGCAGCAUACUGGCUCCAUACUGACGCUGAGGCACGAAAGCGUGGGGAGCGAACAGGAUUAGAUACCCGGGUAGUC
This 459-nucleotide ribosomal RNA is filed under the name uncultured bacterium. Its description in RNAcentral is "partial 16S ribosomal RNA". It matches the Rfam family "Bacterial small subunit ribosomal RNA", at positions 338 to 795 of the family's 1533-position model. The record is from RNAcentral.